GAUGAACGCUGGCGGCGUGCCUAACACAUGCAAGUCGAGCGAACCCUUCGGGGUGAGCGGCGGACGGGUGAGUAACGCGUGGGUAACCUGCCCUGUACACACGGAUAACAUACCGAAAGGUAUGCUAAUACGGGAUAACAUAUGAGAGUCGCAUGGCUUUUGUAUCAAAGCUCCGGCGGUACAGGAUGGACCCGCGUCUGAUUAGCUAGUUGGUAAGGUAACGGCUUACCAAGGCAACGAUCAGUAGCCGACCUGAGAGGGUGAUCGGCCACAUUGGAACUGAGACACGGUCCAAACUCCUACGGGAGGCAGCAGUGGGGAAUAUUGCACAAUGGGCGAAAGCCUGAUGCAGCAACGCCGCGUGAGCGAUGAAGGCCUUCGGGUCGUAAAGCUCUGUCCUCAAGGAAGAUAAUGACGGUACUUGAGGAGGAAGCCCCGGCUAACUACGUGCCAGCAGCCGCGGUAAUACGUAGGGGGCUAGCGUUAUCCGGAAUUACUGGGCGUAAAGGGUGCGUAGGCGGUCUUUCAAGCCAGAAGUGAAAGGCUACGGCUCAACCGUAGUAAGCUUUUGGAACUGUAGGACUUGAGUGCAGGAGAGGAGAGUGGAAUUCCUAGUGUAGCGGUGAAAUGCGUAGAUAUUAGGAGGAACACCAGUAGCGAAGGCGGCUCUCUGGACUGUAACUGACGCUGAGGCACGAAAGCGUGGGGAGCAAACAGGAUUAGAUACCCUGGUAGUCCACGCCGUAAACGAUGAGUACUAGGUGUCGGGGGUUACCCCCCUCGGUGCCGCAGCUAACGCAUUAAGUACUCCGCCUGGGAAGUACGCUCGCAAGAGUGAAACUCAAAGGAAUUGACGGGGACCCGCACAAGUAGCGGAGCAUGUGGUUUAAUUCGAAGCAACGCGAAGAACCUUACCUAAGCUUGACAUCCCAUUGACCUCUCCCUAAUCGGAGAUUUCCCUUCGGGGACAGUGGUGACAGGUGGUGCAUGGUUGUCGUCAGCUCGUGUCGUGAGAUGUUGGGUUAAGUCCCGCAACGAGCGCAACCCUUGCCUUUAGUUGCCAGCAUUAAGUUGGGCACUCUAGAGGGACUGCCGAGGAUAACUCGGAGGAAGGUGGGGAUGACGUCAAAUCAUCAUGCCCCUUAUGCUUAGGGCUACACACGUGCUACAAUGGGUGGUACAGAGGGUUGCCAAGCCGUGAGGUGGAGCUAAUCCCUUAAAGCCAUUCUCAGUUCGGAUUGUAGGCUGAAACUCGCCUACAUGAAGCUGGAGUUACUAGUAAUCGCAGAUCAGAAUGCUGCGGUGAAUGCGUUCCCGGGUCUUGUACACACCGCCCGUCACACCACGGGAGUUGGGGGCGCCCGAAGCCGGUUAGCUAACCUUUUAGGAAGCGGCCGUCGAAGGUGAAACCAAUGACUGGGGUGAAGUCGUAACAAGGUAGCCGUAUCGGAAGGUGCGGCUGGAUCACCUCCUUUCUAAGGAGUAAUUACCUACUGUUUAAUUUUGAGAGUUUAUUGAUUCUCAAAAUUAGUACUUUAAGCAACGGGACAUGAACGUAUGUGAAUGGACGUUGGCGACGUACUGUUAGUACUUUGAAAACUGCAUAACAUUUAGUGAUGAUUAAAUAAACCAAUUAUAAGAGAAGACAACUCUUUAAAAAAUAACACUUUUAAUAACUGGUCAAGUUAUUAAGGGCGCAGGGCGGAUGCCUUGGCACUAAGAGCCGAUGAAGGACGCGAUAAGCUGCGAUAAGCUUCGGGGAGUUGCACGUAAACUUUGAUCCGAAGAUUUCCGAAUGAGGAAACUCACUUAGAGUAAUGUCUAAGUAUCAUUAAGUGAAUACAUAGCUUAAUGAGGGGAACCCGGGGAACUGAAACAUCUAAGUACCCGGAGGAAAAGAAAGAAAUUCGAUUCCGUAAGUAGCGGCGAGCGAACGCGGAAUAGCCCAAACCAGUGAAGUUUUCUUUGCUGGGGUUGCGGACACAUCAUCAACGAAGAGGUAUCGUAAACGAAGAGAGUUGGAAAGCUCCGCUAUAAAGUGUAAUAGCCACGUAGUUGAAACGAGAAGACUUUAGAUGUGAUCCAGAGUACCACGGGACACGUGAAACCCUGUGGGAAGCAGGAGGGACCAUCCUCCAAGGCUAAAUACUACUUAGUGACCGAUAGCGCAU
This 2171-nucleotide ribosomal RNA is filed under the name uncultured Paeniclostridium sp. RNAcentral's name for it is "partial contains 16S ribosomal RNA, 16S-23S ribosomal RNA intergenic spacer, and 23S ribosomal RNA". The stretch from base 1 to 1475 matches the Rfam family "Bacterial small subunit ribosomal RNA". The record is from RNAcentral. Lineage: Bacteria; Bacillati; Bacillota; Clostridia; Peptostreptococcales; Peptostreptococcaceae.